UUCCUUUUUUCUCUGAGACCUGCAGACGGACGGGAUAGUGUUGAAGUGAAUUUUUGUGACGAAGCUUAGUUUUCAGCUAAGCUAAAAGUAAGCUGAGAGGAAUUGUUUCUUUAAGAAGCUUUGGAAAACGUGUUUCCCCCAAUGUGGUGCCUGGAAGGAAGGAGUUGCUACUGUUACUUUGAGCCACUCCCUGACGCUGUCAGAGAUUCUAAAGAAAAUAAUACAGAGCGAGCCACUGCAUGUAACCUGAGUAACACUGUCUAGGCUGAGUGCCCACAAACAGAAGUUAAUAUUAGAACCAUGACAAAUACAGGAAGGCAACAGAGGAGGCUUUCAUGGACCUUUCAUGACAGUGAUCAACUCAACUCUGAGCAUAAGGAAGAAGCCACAGCACCUCGCUCCAGUUGGGGCAAAUCUCCAGUGAGGGAGCAAAGCUGCACUGAAGUGGAAACUACAUGUUUGCUGACAUUGUGUCCACAUAUGCACCAGUGUGACUGAAGUUAAUUGAAAGCAAAGCCUAACAGACUCCAAAGCCAAUGUCUUUACACACAGAAAAUUUAAAAGAUUUGACUUCAGUAAAGACAAGUUGUGUUAAGUCCUUUCUACACUACGCUGGUCAAGUCUCAUCUGGAGAACCGAGCUCAUUUCUGGGGACUGAUUUAAUGAGAGCAUCGUUGUCCUAGAGAGCACCAGGAUGUCUGUGGAUAACAUGGAAGAAAGGGCUUAAGGAGAUUGCUGAAACUGAGGGCCGGGCUUGGAUCCUCACUGGGAUGCUCGCAUUCAGCACAUGCCAUGUUAUACUGCAAGGCACACCAUUGACAUGCAGCACACCUCCCGGAACAUCAGGUUUCUCUGAUGAUAAGAAAUAUAAUAAUAAUUAUUAUUUUAAAUUAUUUUAUUGAAGUCAUUUUUGCUUAUAAUAUAAU
RNAcentral lists this long non-coding RNA (926 nucleotides) under Equus asinus (donkey). RNAcentral's name for it is "lncRNA (ENSEASG00005034201.1)". Lineage: Eukaryota; Metazoa; Chordata; Mammalia; Perissodactyla; Equidae. The record is from RNAcentral.